GCCUAUUUCAUAAUUGGAAUGGGCUGGAACUUCUGCAAUGGUGCCCAUGGUCCAGAAUUGAUUCCAAACUAUGAGUUUUGGAAUGAGUUGCCCAAACUAAUUAUUGAAGGUGUUGCUUUUACCUUUUCUUGUUGUGGUCAGAGAACUGCUUACGGUGAAGUUUAAUGAAGCAAAAUACUUACCUCAUCUACUCAAGGUGAACUUACCACAAUUUUGUAACAUUCCAUUGAUUAAAUGCCAACUUAUUUUUUUA
Long non-coding RNA from Parasteatoda tepidariorum (common house spider), 253 nucleotides. NCBI's taxonomy places the organism in Eukaryota, Metazoa, Arthropoda, Arachnida, Araneae, Theridiidae. The record is from RefSeq and is a predicted model, not a curated record.